RNAcentral lists this ribosomal RNA (529 nucleotides) under Pectocera jiangxiana. RNAcentral describes it as "partial 16S ribosomal RNA". It matches the Rfam family "Archaeal large subunit ribosomal RNA", at positions 1957 to 2679 of the family's 2987-position model. The record is from RNAcentral. Lineage: Eukaryota; Metazoa; Arthropoda; Insecta; Coleoptera; Elateridae.
CAUGUCUUUUUGAUUAUAAUUUAAAGUCUAAUCUGCUCAAUGAGGAUUUAAAUUGCCGCGGUAUCUUGACCGUGCAAAGGUAGCAUAAUAAUUAGUUUUUUUAUUGAAAGCUGGAAUGAAUGAUUGGACGAGAGAAUUACUGUCUCUAUGAGAUUUAUAUUUAAACUUAACUUUUGAGUUAAAAGGCUCAAAUAUUUUUUAAAGACGAGAAGACCCUAUAGAGUUUAACAAUUAGGAGUAAUUAUUUAGGGUAUUGGAAUAUAAGACUUUUAAAUUUACUAGUUGUUUAGUUGGGGUGACUUGAAGAUAAGAAUAACUCUUCUAAUAGUUAAAAUCAUUGAUUUGUGAAAUUUUAAUCUAGGAUUUCUAAAUAUAAGAUAAAUUACCUUAGGGAUAACAGCGUAAUUUCUUUUUAGAGUUCUUAUUGGAAAAGAAGAUUGCGACCUCGAUGUUGGAUUAAAAUUAUUAUUUGGUGUAGUAGCUGAAUUAUUAGGUCUGUUCGACCUUUAAAUUUUUACAUGAUCUGAGU